This 722-nucleotide non-coding RNA is filed under the name Pochazia shantungensis. The record is from RNAcentral. Lineage: Eukaryota; Metazoa; Arthropoda; Insecta; Hemiptera; Ricaniidae.
AAAUAAUUUGAUUCUUGUUAAUUAGUUAAUUUAAUUAUUUUUUUGCAUGUAAAUUUUUGUGAGGGGUUUGUCUCUAAAUGGGUGUUAUUUAAAAUUUCAGUGCUUAGUUUUUAUCUUUUUAAUAUUUUAAUUGGAGGAAUUUAUUUAUGUCAGAAUAAUUUUGUGCCAGCAUUCGCGGUUAUACAUUUUGUUUAAAUUAACUUUUUCAGUUCACAGUUUUUUUAUAAAUUUAUUUUAUUUAGGUGAAAUUUAUAUUUAUUAUUUUUUUUUUACUGUUUAAGCUUGUUAUAAACCAGGAUUAGAUACCCUGUUAUUUCGAUUAAUUUUUAUUUCUGGGUAGUAGAAUUUAUUUGAAAUUCAAUGGAUCUGGCGGUUUUUAAAUCUUUUCAGAGGAACCUGUAAUUUAAAUGAUAAUCCACGAUUAAUUUUACUUUAUUUUUCUUGUAUAUCUCUGUCGUUGAAUGUAAUGAAAAUUUAUUUUCUUUUUUUUUUAAAAAUUUAUGUUAGGUCAAGGUGCAGUUAUAGUGAAGUUUUUAUGGGUUACUUUUAUUUUUGUUAGUGAAUUUUUUUUUUGUUGAAUUUUUGAAUUUGGAUUUGAAAGUAAUUUUUUUUAUUAAAUUUUUUGAAUUUAGCUCUUAAUUAUGUACAUAUCGCCCGUCACUCUCAUAAAUUGAGAUAAGUCGUAACAAAGUAGAUGUACUGGAAAGUGUAUCUAGAAUCAG